This 1433-nucleotide ribosomal RNA is filed under the name uncultured organism. RNAcentral describes it as "16S ribosomal RNA". It matches the Rfam family "Bacterial small subunit ribosomal RNA". The record is from RNAcentral.
CAGGCUUAACACAUGCAAGUCGAGGGGCAUCAGGAAGAAAGCUUGCUUUCUUUGCUGGCGACCGGCGCACGGGUGAGUAACACGUAUCCAACCUGCCCUUUACUCGGGGAUAGCCUUUCGAAAGAAAGAUUAAUACCCGAUAGCAUAAUGAUUCCGCAUGGUUUCAUUAUUAAAGGAUUCCGGUAAAGGAUGGGGAUGCGUUCCAUUAGGUUGUUGGUGAGGUAACGGCCCACCAAGCCUUCGAUGGAUAGGGGUUCUGAGAGGAAGGUCCCCCACAUUGGAACUGAGACACGGUCCAAACUCCUACGGGAGGCAGCAGUGAGGAAUAUUGGUCAAUGGGCGGUAGCCUGAACCAGCCAAGUAGCGUGAAGGAUGAAGGCUCUAUGGGUCGUAAACUUCUUUUAUAUAAGAAUAAAGUGCAGUAUGUAUACUGUUUUGUAUGUAUUAUAUGAAUAAGGAUCGGCUAACUCCGUGCCAGCAGCCGCGGUAAUACGGAGGAUCCGAGCGUUAUCCGGAUUUAUUGGGUUUAAAGGGAGCGUAGGUGGACUGGUAAGUCAGUUGUGAAAGUUUGCGGCUCAACCGUAAAAUUGCAGUUGAUACUGUCAGUCUUGAGUACAGUAGAGGUGGGCGGAAUUCGUGGUGUAGCGGUGAAAUGCUUAGAUAUCACGAAGAACUCCGAUUGCGAAGGCAGCUCACUGGACUGCAACUGACACUGAUGCUCGAAAGUGUGGGUAUCAAACAGGAUUAGAUACCCUGGUAGUCCACACAGUAAACGAUGAAUACUCGCUGUUUGCGAUAUACAGUAAGCGGCCAAGCGAAAGCAUUAAGUAUUCCACCUGGGGAGUACGCCGGCAACGGUGAAACUCAAAGGAAUUGACGGGGGCCCGCACAAGCGGAGGAACAUGUGGUUUAAUUCGAUGAUACGCGAGGAACCUUACCCGGGCUUAAAUUGCAGUGGAAUGAUGUGGAAACAUGUCAGUGAGCAAUCACCGCUGUGAAGGUGCUGCAUGGUUAUCGUCAGCUCGUGCCGUGAGGUGUCGGCUUAAGUGCCAUAACGAGCGCAACCCUUAUCUUCAGUUACUAACAGGUUAUGCUGCGGACUCUGGAGAGACUGCCGUCGUAAGAUGUGAGGAAGGUGGGGAUGACGUCAAAUCAGCACGGCCCUUACGUCCGGGGCUACACACGUGUUACAAUGGGGGGUACAGAAGGCAGCUAGCGGGUGACCGUAUGCUAAUCCCAAAAUCCUCUCUCAGUUCGGAUCGAAGUCUGCAACCCGACUUCGUGAAGCUGGAUUCGCUAGUAAUCGCGCAUCAGCCACGGCGCGGUGAAUACGUUCCCGGGCCUUGUACACACCGCCCGUCAAGCCAUGGGAGCCGGGGGUACCUGAAGUACGUAACCGCAAGGAUCGUCCUAGGGUAAAACUGGUGACUGGG